RNAcentral lists this long non-coding RNA (283 nucleotides) under Oryza brachyantha (malo sina). RNAcentral describes it as "long non-coding RNA (OBRA_LNC003111)". The record is from RNAcentral. Lineage: Eukaryota; Viridiplantae; Streptophyta; Magnoliopsida; Poales; Poaceae.
CGCCGGCCGCUGCACCCCGCGCCAGCUCGCCCGUCGCCCACGGCCGUCGACCGUGCCGCACCCUCGCAUCGCCCUGGCCGCGUGGCCGCCGCCCGCGUCGCGACACCGCGCCCACCGGCUCGCAGUAGGAGGAGAGUUGAGCAGCAGCAUCAGCAGGUGCCAGCGAUUCCGGGGAGGCCAUUGCUGUUCCACAACUCGUCGAGCCCUGCACAUCUGCAGCUCAUCUGUGUGGGAAGUCGGUACCUUCCAAGUGGGAGGAUGCAGAGAAGUUUCUGAGGCAGGC